AGAUCUCUUACAGUUAGUUUCGUUCUUAAUCCAAACUACUGCAGCCUGACAGACAAAUGAGGAUGCAAACAAUUUUAAAGUUUAUCUAACGCUAGCUGUUUUGUUUCUUCUCUCUGGUGCACCAACGACGGCGUUUUCUCAAUCAUAAAGAGGCUUGUUUUACUUAAGGCCAAUAAUGUUGAUGGAUCGAAAGAAGAGGGCUUUUAAUAAACGAGCCCGUUUAAGCUGUAAACGAUGUCAAAAACAUCCCACAUCGUUCAGUUGAAAAUAGAAGCUCUGUUUAUAUAUUGGUAGAGUCGACUAAGAGAUUGUCCCUUCGGGGACAUCUGAUAAAAUUGGAACGAUACAGAGAAGAUUAGCAUGGCCCCUGCGCAAGGAUGACACGCAUAAAUCGAGAAAUGGUCCAAAUUUUUUUGGAUAGAAUUUCCCAGCUUUUUUGCGUGUUUCAGCUCUCAUGAUCCUUGGCCAAUGGGUGUAGUAAAUUUUCUGCACAUUCAUUGGAUGGAAAAUAAUGGUUUUAGCUUUAGGGAAUAAGAAAAGUGUAUAGGAAGGGGAUUUUUGUACAAUCACAUUUGAAUUAGGUCUUUGAAAUGACAGGGAAUGAGGACAUAUGAUGAAGCUCUGUCCCAUCCAAGAAGUUGGCCAGUGUUCUUGUCUCAGAUUGUGGUUUGGCCCUCACAUAAACAGCUUCAUAACCUUUUGGGUGGAGGGUUAACUUGAUUUUGCAGCAAAGAAGAGGCUUUUCCUUUAUGUAUUAGGUUGCUUGUGAAUUGGCCCUUGAGGAGAAGAACGUUAAUCUAAAAAUCUAUAUCAGUUAUUUUUACUCAACUAUAUGAAACGAUAUAUUCGAGAUUUAUGUAGUAAACACAUAAUCCAACCAUAAACUCAUGGGACAUUUAUAUGCCAAGCUUU
This is a small nuclear RNA of Arabidopsis thaliana (thale cress), 912 nucleotides long. NCBI's taxonomy places the organism in Eukaryota, Viridiplantae, Streptophyta, Magnoliopsida, Brassicales, Brassicaceae. The record is from RefSeq.